AGAGUUUGAUCCUGGCUCAGAUUGAACGCUGGCGGCAGGCCUAACACAUGCAAGUCGAGCGGAAACGAGUUAACUGACCCUUCGGGUGACGUUAACGGCGUCGAGCGGCGGACGGGUGAGUAAUGCCUGGGAAAUUGCCCUGAUGUGGGGGAUAACCAUUGGAAACGAUGGCUAAUACCGCAUAAUGCCUUCGUGCCAAAGAGUGGGACCUUAGGGCCUCUCGCGUCAGGAGAUGCCCAGGUGGGAUUAGCUAGUUGGUGAGGUAAUGGCUCACCAAGGCGACGAUACCUAGCUGGUCUGAGAGGAUGAUCAGCCACACUGGAAGUGAGACACGGUCCAGACUCCUACGGGAGGCAGCAGUGGGGAAUAUUGCACAAUGGGCGCAAGCCUGAUGCAGCCAUGCCGCGUGUGUGAAGAUGGCCUUCGGGUUGUAAAGCACUUUCAGCAGUGAGGAAGGCGGGUACGUUAAUAAGUGCUCGUUUGACGUUAGCUGCAGAAGAAGCACCGGCUAACUCCGUGCCAGCAGCCGCGGUAAUACGGAGGGUGCGAGCGUUAAUCGGAAUUACUGGGCGUAAAGCGCAUGCAGGUGGUUCGUUAAGUCAGAUGUGAAAGCCCGGGGCUCAACCUCGGAACUGCAUUUGAAACUGGCGGACUAGCGUACUGUAGAGGGGGGUAGAAUUUCAGGUGUAGCGGUGCAAUGCGUAGAGAUCUGAAGGAAUACCGGUGGCGAAGGCGGCCCCCUGGACAGAUACUGACACUCAGAUGCGAAAGCGUGGGGAGCAAACAGGUUUAGAUACCCUGGUAGUCCACGCCGUAAACGAUGUCUACUUGGAGGUUGUGGCCUUGAGCCGUGGCUUUCGGAGCUAACGCGUUAAGUAGACUGCCUGGGGAGUACGGUCGCAAGAUUAAAACUCAAAUGAAUUGACGGGGGCCCGCACAAGCGGUGGAGCAUGUGGUUUAAUUCGAUGCAACGCGAAGAACCUUACCUACUCUUGACAUCCAGAGAAGCCAGCGGAGACU
This 1020-nucleotide ribosomal RNA is filed under the name Vibrio mediterranei. RNAcentral's name for it is "bacterial SSU rRNA". It matches the Rfam family "Bacterial small subunit ribosomal RNA", at positions 8 to 1008 of the family's 1533-position model. The record is from RNAcentral. Lineage: Bacteria; Pseudomonadati; Pseudomonadota; Gammaproteobacteria; Vibrionales; Vibrionaceae.